CACGGCCCGGUGCACCUGGGGUGGCUUCACAGGUGGUAACGUGCGAGUUUGGCGUUCAGGAUUGAGGGAGGGAGCUGCCGUGUCAGGCAGACUCGCAGAGCCGUGAGUGCGCGUGUGAGGACGGGGCCGUCUCACGCUGCUCACAGGUGAGCCGUGUGGACCCGCAGCUCUCACAGCUCCUGUGUGCGGCACUGGUACGCGGUAGAUCUGGGCAAGACCCCGGGGCCAUGAACGGAUGGUCCGAUUCCUGCCACGUUCUGGAAUGUGGUCGAGGAACACGCUGAGUCAGGCCUGAGGAAGCUACUGGGGUCCAAAGAUGGAGGAGCCUCCCACCCUGUUUCUGGGCAGGUGCGUCCAGUCUAGCCAGUCAGCCUCGAGCGUGAACUCCAGACCCCACAUCUGACUCCUGUUUGGCUAAUCUGGCUUUGAGGGGAGAAAGGAGGCUGAGGUUAUUUGUGUUCCUGGCCAC
Molecule: long non-coding RNA, 469 nt
Filed under: Fukomys damarensis (Damara mole-rat)
Lineage: Eukaryota; Metazoa; Chordata; Mammalia; Rodentia; Bathyergidae
Description: lncRNA (ENSFDAG00000027548.1)
Source: RNAcentral